GACGAACGCUGGCGGCGUGCUUAACACAUGCAAGUCGAACAGUGAAGCGCCUUCCUUUUUGGUGGGUGUGGAUGAGUGGCGAACGGGUGAGUAACACGUGAGUAACCUGCCCCCUUCUUCUGGAUAACCGCAUGAAAGUGUGGCUAAUACGGGAUAUUCUGGGUCUGUCGCAUGAUGGGUCUGGGAAAGAUAUUGUUUCGGUGGGGGAUGGGCUCGCGGCCUAUCAGCUUGUUGGUGGGGUGAUGGCCUACCAAGGCGGUGACGGGUAGCCGGCCUGAGAGGGUGGACGGUCACACUGGGACGGAGACACGGCCCAGACUCCUACGGGAGGCAGCAGUGGGGAAUAUUGCACAAUGGGCGCAAGCCUGAUGCAGCGACGCCGCGUGAGGGAUGGAGGCCUUCGGGUUGUGAACCUCUUUCGCCAGUGAAGCAGGCCUGCCUCGUUUGUGGGUGGGUUGACGGUAGCUGGAUAAGAAGCGCCGGCUAACUACGUG
Molecule: ribosomal RNA, 494 nt
Filed under: uncultured bacterium
Lineage: Bacteria
Description: partial 16S ribosomal RNA
Rfam family: Bacterial small subunit ribosomal RNA
Source: RNAcentral